RNAcentral lists this long non-coding RNA (1366 nucleotides) under Neogobius melanostomus (round goby). Its description in RNAcentral is "lncRNA (ENSNMLG00000000353.1)". Lineage: Eukaryota; Metazoa; Chordata; Actinopteri; Gobiiformes; Gobiidae. The record is from RNAcentral.
UUAGGACGUCUAUAUAAAUCAACACUUUAGCCAAUAAUAAACAGGUCUGUAUAACUGUAGUUUGUAGAUCUUGUGUCUCAGACUAUGCAGAUAAUGUAAAUCAGUCUAUGAAAAAGAUGAACAACCACAUGGUCAAACACAAUCAUUCUUACAUGAAUGGGAACAGACAGGUCAGGGAAAAGUAUGAAGCAAACCAUCUGCACCACUGCAAACAAAUCCUUUAGACCAAUGGACAACACCAGUGAUUUGGAUCCAAAACAGUGAAGUCUACUUUCAUUUGGCUGCAGACUUAUAUGAGGCUCAGUUGAUAGAGAUGUUGUCCAAGUGUCCACCAACUAAUCUGAAAGCCGGUUUGAUCCUUGCUGCCAGCAUUGCAUUGUGAACCCACCCCGUCGAAUGUAUACAUAAGGGUGUUAUGGAUGGUGUUGGGUUGAAAAUGCUACAGGCACAAAAUAGCAGCCAUGUUUCCAGUACUCUAUAUUGGAGAACCUCACUUAUGUAAUGCAAUUUGGCAAAUGUCCUGGAUAUAUUGAUUUUGUAGCAUCAUUUUAAGAUCAGUGCAUUCCCAGCAUUUUACAGCAGCAAAUGUUUGAGCACACCACGAGAGGGAGACAGUUUUUUACCAAUAAACCUCCUAUCAAUAUACACUCCCACAGUUAUGAAGAAACACCUCCCUGUGUGACUUCAGUGCAUUCGCUCCAGAGACAAAUGCACAACACAGUCUUAAGUAUGAUACUUAUAGUUCUGAUGCUGGUUCCUGGCAUAAAAGGAGCCUCCCUGCAAGACCUCAUUUCCCAGACCCCUCGAGACCUGAUUAGGUUCAGCAAUGAAUCUAUCAAGGGGCGAGCUGACCUGUUCUCACACUAUACAAGGCUACGAUCUGACGCUUUGGUAUAAAAAGGAGAAAAAUGGUGCCUUUAAACUGCUCGGUUACAUGAAUCUUAACUUUAAAAAUGUUGAAGACGACGUCAAAGAUAAGAUAACUUUGGGAGGGGAUGGACGCUCAAAAUCAAGCCUCUCUGUGUCAAAUCCCACACAAGAAGACAGCGCUGUGUACUACUGCGCUGCCAGUAUGCACAGUGAUGUAGCGAACCCUCGUCCUGUAUCAAAAACUAAUUUCUAGUUAGGAAAUGUGCCUUUGUGAACACCUGCGGAAAACUAAACCACAGCGGUUUUAUCAGUAAGACAUUUUGUAAUAGAGAAAGACAUAUGAGGUCACAUGAUUUAGCAUAGAUCAGGAAAAAAACAAAAGAAGAGCAUAACAAUCUCCAAAACUGACAAAUUUGGGAUGACACAGAAAUACAAUGCUAUUACGGCUUUAUAUAUAUAUUUUUUGAUUUGAAUAUUUUAUUUCGAGCUAAAGAAG